Vitis vinifera (wine grape) is the source of this 6060-nucleotide RNA transcript. It is a transcript of the gene named putative disease resistance protein RGA1, with no coding region annotated. The record is from RefSeq and is a predicted model, not a curated record. Lineage: Eukaryota; Viridiplantae; Streptophyta; Magnoliopsida; Vitales; Vitaceae. The transcript is spliced from 3 exons.
UGUCCUUGUUGUAUUAGAUUUCAUAUACCCAGAGAAAGCAAGAGCCGGGAAUUUGUAAAUAUGUGGUGCCUUCGCAAUUUGAUCAAUAAUGUUCUGUGCCCAUUUCUCAUGUGGCUUCUUGUUACCGGCCAGUUGAAUAUUUGAAGCGACAACUUUGUGUUCCGGUGAUCCUUGGUCUUUUUUGUUCUACAUAUGCUUUUAAAACUCGAGUUCUGCUGCUUUGCAAUUUCAACUUCCACUUUGAUUUUGGUUCUUUCCUCUUGAUUUUGGCUUUGAUUUGCAUGCUUCUUACCAUUGAAAGUUGAAAAACGUUACUGUUAAUCUAGUUAUUAGUGAUGGCCAACAAUAUAUAUUAAGCUGAUUCGAGGUACCACUGCACAGGCAACCUUCUGUUGGGUCUACUAUGAGGUUCAAGCGCCUAACAUCAUGUAAAACGAGGGUCUAAUACUAUGUUAAGUUACCAAUUUUACCUUUAAGAGGGCGUUCGACAAUGUUUCUAUUCAAAAUGUUUUUUAUAUAAAUUUUUUCUCUAAAAGUAUUUUUGGAAGAAUCAAUAAGCAAUUAUUAUAUACGAAGUGUUUUUAAUAGAAAUUUUUUCUCUAGAAGUAUUUUUGGAAGAAUCAAUAAACAAUCGUUACAUACAUGGUUGAUUGUAUCAUACAUAUAUUAAUUUUUUCAUAAAACAACUUUUAAAUGUCAUUAUUGUUUAUUAUAUUAUUUUUAGAGUUUUUCUCAAUAUUUUCAUAAGUUUUGAUCAAUUUUAAAUUCAUUAAUAUUUUGUAUCAAAAUAUUCGUCGAUAUAUCUCUGAUAUAUUUAUAAAAUCAAAGUAUUGAUAUAUCCAUGAUUGCUGAUAUUUUCAUUCUUUAACACAAUUUAUUUAUAAAUGUAAGUAGAAAUUUUAUUUAUGAGAAUACUAGUCUAAAUCUUCCACUGCAGUCGGCAUAGCUAAACUAUUUUAGAGAAAUUUUAUGCUAAUCAAUGUUAAUCUCUAGUAUGAUGUACAUGCACACAUCCAUUCAUGUAAGUACAUGCAUAUUGUACAGUGCCAUUAAACAUUCUAUCUGACAGUCUUCCUUCUUCCUGGUGAUUUAUGAAAAAGAUUGUAAUUUUCUUUCCGUUCAGCUUGAGUAUCAAUCAACACUACAAAAGGUUGCUUUUGAUAUAUGAAUGCCAGAUAAAAAGAUCAUGAGCUUGUUAAAGUAACUACUGAUAAAGCUUGACAGACCACUGAUCAUUAACUCAAUUGAAACUUGUUCCAUUAGCUUCGCGUGGAAAAUGUUACAACUUAAAUAACUCACAAGCCAUGAAGAGCUCCAGUUGAACUACGCUGAGCAGUGUUUCUUUAGCUUUCUUCUUAGUGAGCCUAUUUCUUCUUAUGAUAAAAUUUUAAGUAUGCAUCCUGUGUUUGGAUGCAGUUGCAAGCUCUUGCCAAACUAUCUAACAGGUUGUUUUUUUCUCUCUCUCUCUAGGAUUGUUCUGUAUACCUUUUUGCCUCUAAAAUUUCUUCAUCAGGCAUAUAAUGCUUUUUUCUUUUUUCUUUUUAAUAAUUUUGUGUCUUAAUUGACUACUGUUUAGGCCAUUGACUUGUCUCUUUGUGGAUCUUUGUUUUUUUUUUUUUUUUUUUUUUUUUUUGAUAUUAUCCACAAGAAAUUUUCCUAAGAGUUGAGGAUCCUCUAAUUGCUCGCUGACUUCUUGCUUGUGUUUAUUGACUUGUCUAAUGAGAUUUUAAGAUUUGAAGGAUUUAUCAUUCUUCUACUGGUUCAUGGAUUUUCCUUUUUCUUUCUGGAGGCUCAAUUCAAAGACAAUGCUACCUGAAAUUGGAUUUUCUGGUUCCAUAUCAUGGUUUUGACCUUGAGUUUGUUUUCCAGUUUUAUUUGAUCCAUUCUAGUCCUGAUCAAUGAUAUUCAAGCAGAAGUAACCAGGAUGGUGUUCGAGUCAUACAUCGUCAGUAAUUGAAUUAUUCUGACUAUUGGGUAGACGCGUUUUUGCCCUGAACCUGAAGCUUUGGAAGACCAUGGCGUGUGAUUUAGAUGCAGCAUUAUUAAAUUCCUGGUUGUGAGUUUGUUGAGAAAUUGUUUGGAACGAUUUCUAUUUAAGUUGUCGUAGUCACUCAUGUGGGAGAGCAGUUUCAUGGGACUUUACUGGAAGUCACUGAGGAAACCUACUGGUGAACCUCACCAUUUUUCUUCAUGUGAACACUUUCCUGGAAAGAGAGAUUUUAAGGACCUUUCAGUAAGAAAUCAUCUGCAGAGAUUGACCUUGUCGGCCAGCUCUGCGUUUGUGGUUACAAACGAGACGGGCUAUCUGGGUCCCAUAAGUUAAAUUUUUUCUAACUGCUAAUUAAGAAAACUUGGCCUACACAAGAUCUUUCUGUACAAUUGAACCAGAGUUUCUCUUCCUGUAAGCAGCCAUGGCCGAAGCAGUUCUAUCUGCACUAGUAGAAGUAAUAUUCGAAAAGAUGUCUUCGCAAAUCCUGGAGUACAGAAUGCUGGGAGGCACUGAGAAGGAGAUGAGCCAGCUUCGGAGCAUAUUAUUGACGAUUCAAGAUGUGCUUGAAGAGGCAGAAGACCAACAAUUAAGGAAUAAGACGGUGAAAAAUUGGUUGAUGAAGCUUAAGGAUGCCGCUUAUGAUGCAGAUGACUUGCUGGACGAGUACAUGAUGGAAGCUCUAGAGUAUGAAGUAGGGGCUGAUGAUAACAUGAAGUUCAAGGAUUGCAUGAUUAAUAUGGUAUGCAACUUCUUUUCACGGUCAAAUCCGUUCAUUUUCCAUUACAAAAUGAAAUGCAGGUUAAAGCAGAUAGGGGAGAGGUUAAAUUCAAUUGCAAAUGAGAGGUCCAAAUUUCAUUUGAAAAAUUCAAAUGUUAAUCAGACCUAUCAGUCAUCUGGGAGACUGCAGUCGGAUUCUUUCUUGCUUGAAUCUGAUGUUUGUGGAAGAGACAGAGAUAGAGAGGAAAUAAUUAAGCUACUGACAGAUAAUAGCCAUGGGGAUGUUUCAGUCAUUCCAAUAGUUGGUAUAGGAGGGCUAGGGAAGACAACUCUCGCAAAACUGGCCUACAACGACAAACGGGCGGACAAGCAUUUCCAGCAAAGAAUCUGGGUUUGUGUCUCUGAAGAUUUUGAUGUGAAGCGGAUUAUGAGAGCAAUUUUGGAAUCUGCCACUGGGAAUACAUGUCAUCUUCAAGAGAUGGAAGUGAUUCAGCAGCGCAUUCGAGAAUUGGUCAUGGGGAAGAGGUUCUUACUAGUUUUGGAUGAUGUAUGGAGCGAUGAUCAUGACAAAUGGGAGAGAUUGAAGAAUUCAGUGAGACAUGGUUCUGAAGGUAGCAAAAUCUUGGUUACAACUCGUAGUGAAAAGGUUGCACUGAUAAUGGGUACCAUUUCCCCUUACUAUUUAAAGGGCUUGCCAGAAGAUGAUUGUUGGUCUUUGUUUGAGCAGCGAGCUUUCAAGCUUGGGGUACCAAAAGAAGCUUCAAUAGUUGCAAUCGGAAACGAUAUUGUGAAGAAAUGCAGGGGUGUACCUCUUGCAGCAAAGACUCUUGGAAGCUUGAUGUGCUUCAAAAGAGAGAAAAGUGAGUGGGUAGAUGUAAAAGAUAGUGAAAUAUGGAACCUACUUGGAGGAGAAAAUGGAAUUCUACAAGUAUUGAGACUCAGUUAUGAUGAUCUACCAUCACAUCUGAAACAAUGCUUUGCAUACUGCUCCAUUUUUCCCAAGGACUACUGCAUAGAGAAGGAGAACUUGGUCCAGCUGUGGAUGGCUGAAGGAUUCCUUCCAUCAUCUGGAAGAAAGGCACCAGAAGAAGUUGGGAACGAGUACUUCAAUGAGUUACUAUGGAGGUCUUUCUUUGAGAAUGUCACCAAGGACAGUGAUGGUAACAUAGUGAAAUGUGGAAUGCAUCAUCUUUUUCAUGAUCUUGCAAGAUCUGUUUCAGGUUCAGAUUGCUCAGCAGUAGAGGUUGGUAGGCAAGUAAGUAUUCCUGCAGCCACACGGCACAUAUCAAUGGUCUGUAAAGAGAGGGAAUUUGUAAUUCCAAAGUCCUUACUGAAUGCUGGGAAAGUCCGCUCUUUCCUUCUAUUAGUUGGGUGGCAAAAGAUUCCCAAAGUAUCUCAUAAUUUCAUCUCAAGUUUCAAAUCCUUGCGUGCUUUAGACAUAAGCAGCACACGGGCUAAGAAGCUAUCUAAGUCAAUUGGGGCAUUGAAACAUUUAAGGUACCUCAAUCUCUCAGGUGCUCGCAUCAAAAAGUUACCAAGCUCUAUUUGUGGUCUUUUGUAUCUGCAGACAUUGAUACUCAAGCAUUGUGACCUUCUGGAGAUGCUACCGAAAGAUUUGAGAAAGUUGAUCUUCCUCAGACAUCUAAAUAUUUAUGCAUGUAGAUCAUUGGUCAAGCUGCCAAAUGGGAUUGGAAAACUCAGCUCCCUUCAAACAUUACCAAUUUUCAUAGUUGGUAGGGGAACUGCUUCUAGCAUUGCUGAGUUGCAGGGCCUGGACCUGCAUGGAGAAUUAAUGAUUAAGAACCUUGAAAAUGUGAUGAAUAAAAGAUGUGCCAGAGCUGCAAAUCUGAAGGAGAAGAGAAACCUUCGUUCACUGAAACUUUUAUGGGAGCAUGUUGAUGAAGCGAAUGUAAGAGAACAUGUUGAGCUUGUCAUUGAAGGCCUCCAACCAAGCUCUGAUUUAAAGAAGCUGCAUGUUGAGAAUUAUAUGGGUGCAAAUUUCCCAUGUUGGCUGAUGAAUUCAUCUCUCUCAAACCUCACUGAACUCUCACUAAUCAGAUGUCAAAGGUGUGUCCAACUUCCUCCAUUAGAGAAGCUAAGUGUUCUUGAGGUUCUCUCAAUAGAUGGAAUGGAUGCCACAAGGUACAUCUCUGAUGACUCCCGCACAAAUGAUGGGGUUGUUGAUUAUGCAUCAUUGAAACAUCUCACACUCAAAAAUAUGCCAUCUUUAUUGGGGUGGUCAGAAAUGGAAGAAAGAUAUCUGUUUUCCAACCUGAAGAAAUUGACAAUUGUUGAUUGCCCAAAUAUGACGGACUUCCCAAAUCUUCCGUCUGUGGAAUCUCUGGAGCUGAAUGAUUGCAACAUCCAGUUAUUAAGGAUGGCAAUGGUGAGCACUUCUCUUUCCAACCUCAUCAUCAGUGGCUUUUUAGAGCUAGUAGCUUUACCCGUUGGAUUGCUAAGAAAUAAAAUGCAUCUUUUGUCUCUUGAAAUCAAAGACUGUCCAAAGCUCAGAUCUCUCUCAGGUGAGCUUGAAGGUCUUUGUUCCCUUCAAAAAUUGACAAUUAGUAAUUGUGACAAGCUAGAAUCUUUUCUGGAGUCUGGAAGCCUCAAGUCUCUCAUAUCUUUGUCAAUACAUGGGUGCCACAGUCUAGAAUCUCUGCCAGAAGCAGGGAUUGGAGAUCUCAAGUCCCUUCAAAAUCUUUCACUCUCAAAUUGUGAGAAUCUAAUGGGCUUGCCAGAGACUAUGCAGCACCUUACAGGCCUCCAGAUUCUAUCCAUUUCAAGUUGUUCCAAAUUGGAUACCCUUCCUGAGUGGCUGGGAAACCUUGUUUCACUCCAAGAGCUGGAGCUUUGGUAUUGCGAAAAUCUACUGCAUCUGCCAGAUUCAAUGGUGAGACUCACAGCCCUUCAAUUUCUAUCGAUAUGGGGCUGUCCUCACUUGGAAAUAAUCAAGGAGGAAGGGGACGAUUGGCACAAGAUACAACAUGUUCCAUAUAUCAAGAUUAAUGGCCCUUAUAUUAAAGCUGCUGGAGUGUAGUGUAUCAAUAUCGUGGCAAGGAUAAAUUGGGGAUUAGGCAGCAGUGUUAGUUUCCAGAAUUAGGAAGCCAUGAAGAAAGAUAGCUGGCUCUUCGAACAAGCCGGUCAGUUGAACUAUAGGAAUGAAGAAGCAUACUUGUAUAAUUAUAUAGAGAUGCGACUAUCAAAUCUGUUCUUUAAGGUCUUGGCAGAGGGUUCAUAGGGGUUUAUGGGAUUGGACUUAAGAUUGUGUUUUUGUUUGUACUGAUUUAUUCUCUUGUAAUAAAGAUCUUUCCAAGCUUAUAUGUUCACCUCUGGUGAUUACUUUUCCUGCUUUA